CAAAGAGGAGGGAGAGACAGACUUCAUCACUGACUCCAGACCUGAGAACAAACUCAUCUGAAGAACCGCUCACACCAAUUCAAAGAGGUGACUGUGAUCUCCUCAGACCAUUUGGCAGAACAGCCCAGGAUGAUUGAUUCUGCACAUUCUAUGGGAAGGCGUGAGGGAAGUUCUCAUCUGAUGAAAAGACGACUCGGAUCCGCCCAGACCAGACCUUGACUGUGAACUGCCCGGCAGGAGGCAUAUCAUAAGUGAACAAUAGAGGGACACAUCUACUGACUUUUCAGACUCUUUUCCCACGGGUGAAGGCGUCUAUGCCGAACCUAGCAGGUGGGGCCGAACACUGUUUGAACCCAGGUGAUUCCGUGGUGGUCAAAGACUUCAGGAGAAAGAGUUGGAACGACCCCCGUCGAUAUCAAGUUCUUCAAGACCACCCCCCACUGCGGUGAAGGUUUGCUGAGAGAGAAACCUGGAUCCACGCGUAGCACUGCAGACGAGCUCCUGAUCCAGGAGAAGAUGAGGCCUCGCCAGUCCCAGCGGUGCCGUGUGGCCCUCCUCUGCUUUAGCACAGGAAUGCUAAUAGGAACAGCAGGCUGUCUUCUUGUAGGAAACCCGACAGAGGGUCAAAUGAGUCCUGAGCCAAAGGGGCGAACACAGGCCUGGAGUAGUGGCCCAGAAGUAGAUGGUCACCGUAGAAGGAGAGGCCUGCUGGGCCCUCACAACCAGGAGGACAAUUUGUUCUUAUCUAGAGCACAAAUGGUUGCCAACCUGACAUUCAAAGGAAAGGACUGCUGGGUGUGUGGGUUGAGUCCGGGGAAGGUUGGGGCAGGCUUCCCCCUUGUAGGAGUCCCGAUAGGGGUGAACUUUACUAUAGCGUUGGCAGGAAAAAUACCUUUUUACACUAUGACCAACAAUGUUAAGGUAUAUAAUCAACCCAAUAUAUUCUGUUAUGUGAGACCUGAUAGUGUUUCACUCCCACCCAUUUCAGUGGCUGCGGUGACGACUGCCCCUUGGUGUAUUAGGGGAUAUGGAGAUCACUAUUUGGGUGAAUUCAAAUGUAAUUGUACAAUGAAUAUUAAUGGAUCAAAUGCUUGCAAUUUAAAGGUGAUACAGGAGAAUGGCCAGGCUGAUAAAGAACCGUUUACAAUUUGGUUUGACAAACAUAGAACAACUCUGAGAGGAGCCCCUAAUGGCACCUACUGGCUGUGUGGUAAGAUGGCUUACCACAGCCUUCCCCUGAACUGGGGAGGUACUUGUACUGUUGGGUUUGUGGUGACAGCAAUGAGAACUGUUCCAAACAAUGACCAGAAUCUGAAGGCUCUCUUCAGAGACUACAAACCUCCUGGGACGAGGAGAGAUAAGAGGUCUCUGGCCGACGGCACUCACACUCAGGCACCUGCCUCCAGGUUCUUUGACGGGUUUGUCCCUGGGUAUGGAGUUGCCGGCGCCCAAGACCAAAUCCGUGAUAUCUCUAGACACGUAGAGAAAAUUGGCAAUGCUACUCGAAAUGCCCUGGAACAAUUGAAUGGGGAACUAAAAGAAUUGGCUGAAAUGACUCUUCAGAACAGAGAGGCUCUUGACUAUCUUCUGGCAGCUCAAGGGGGCACUUGUGCAAUCAUUGGCGAUGAAUGUUGUACUUUUGUCCCAGGUCGCUCUUCUAAUGUGACUGACCUUGCCCAAUACAUUGUCACUGUUGCUAAAAAUUAUUCCCCACAACUAGAGCGGACGCUUGCAACUUGGUUGGAGUCCCUGUUGGGAAGUUGGGGAUCUCAUAUUGCCCAAUGGGCUGCAGCGUGUGUUUUUUGAUUAGGCUGCAUAAUUCUAUUAUUAACAGGCUGCAAGGCUAUCUAACAGGCUGUAAGGCUAUCUAACAGGCUGUAAGGCUGUCUAACAGGCUAUAAGGCUAUCUAACAGGCUGUAAGGCUGUCUAACAGGCUGUAAGGCUCUCUAACAGGCUGUAAGGCUGUCUAACAGGCUGUAAGGCUGUCUAACAGGCUGUAAGGCUAUCUAACAGGCUGUAAGGCUUUCUAACAGGCUGUAAGGCUAUCUAACAGGCUGUAAGGCUCUCUAACAGGCUGUCAGGCUAUCUAACAGGCUGUAAGGCUAUCUAACAGGCUGUCAGGCUAUCUAACAGGCUGUAAGGCUCUCUAACAAGCUGUAAGGCUAUCUAACAGGCUGUAAGGCUCUCUAACAGGCUGUAAGGCUCUCUAACAGGCUGUAAGGCUAUCUAACAGGCUGUAAGGCUCUCUAACAGGCUGUAAGGCUCUCUAACAGGCUGUAAGGCUAUCUAACAGGCUGUAAGGAUAUCUAACAGGCUGUAAGGCUCUCUAACAGGCUGUAAGUCUAUCUAACAGGCUGUAAGGCUAUCUAACAGGCUGUAAGGCUCUCUAACAGGCUGUAAGGCUCUCUAACAGGCUGUAAGGCUCUCUAACAGGCUGUAAGGCUCUCUAACAGGCUGUAAGGCUCUCUAACAGGCUGUAAGGCUCUCUAACAGGCUGUAAGUCUAUCUAACAGGCUGUAAGGCUCUCUAACAGGCUGUAAGUCUAUCUAACAGGCUGUAAGGCUCUCUAACAGGCUGUAAGGCUCUCUAACAGGCUGUAAGGCUCUCUAACAGGCUGUAAGGCUAUCUAACAGGCUGUAAGGCUAUCUAACAGGCUGUAAGGCUAUCUAACAGGCUGUAAGGCUAUCUAACAGGCUGUAAGGCUAUUCUCCCUGUGUAAUACGGUCUCAGCGUUUAAUGCUCUUCAAGGGGAUGGUGAGCUGCCGAAGCUGGAUGAGCUUCCCUUUUUCCCACUGUAGAUUGAGACGAUGAGUAAUAACUGAAGGUUGCUUUUGUUUGACAAGUUUAGAAGGUUUAAAGUUGAGUUAAUCAUUUAUAUUAAAACACCAUUGUGGUAAGAGCUAUGGAAACAAUGGUUAAACAUCGAGCUACAAUUCCCUUGUGUGUGUAUUUUUUUGAUAGAUUGACUAAUAGAAGUAUAACCUUGACUGUAGAUUUUAGCUUUAUUAUGAUGAUAGUAUUUCCGUAAAUGAACUUGUGUGAUGAAGCAUGUGUGUCAGUGUAAUGAAGCAUGUGUGUCAGUGUAUGAAGCAUGUGUGUCAGUGUAAUGAAGCAUGUGUGUCAGUGUAUGAAGCAUGUGUUUAAGUGUAAUGAAGCAUGUGUGUCAGUGUAUGAAGCAUGUGUUUAAGUGUAAUGAAGCAUGUGUGUCAGUGUAAUGAAGCAUGUGUGUCAGUGUAUGAAGCAUGUGUGUAAGUGUGAUGAAGCAUGUGUGUAAGUGUGAUGAAGCAUGUGUGUAAGUGUAUGAAGCAUGUGUUUAAGUGUAUGAAGCAUGUGUAUGAAGCAUGUGUAAUGAAGUAUGUGUGUGAGUGUGAUGAAGCGAAGGUCUUAAUUUAAACCGUUCUACUGCCAUGGCUUUACAAGUGUUAGACUUAUGGAAUACGGAUAAUUUAUCAUUUCGAUUGUACAACCCAGAAUGAAGGGUUUGAAAGGAUAAAGUGGCGUUUUUAUGAGUUGAUUUCAGUGUUUUUGAUAGGACCUCCUUUGAUAGUUUAAGCCUUUAAUCUAACGUCACCUUAACAUGUUACAACAGUUAUCACAGAGUGAUAAGAGAAGAUGUGGUGGGAAAUGUUGUUGUCUGAAGAGAAGCCUUGCAUUGUACAUCUUGGUCUUGUUCUCUCUCACUAUAUGGUGGUUUGUGCAGGUGACUGUGACCUCCUCAGACCAAUUGGUAGAACAGCCCAGAAUAUUUUCUGGGAGUUAAGACAGGAGACAUUUGGUUAAUUUGUUUUAAUUGUCUCAUUAAUAGUUUUUGUUGACAACGAUUUUUUAGGUCGUUGACAAUGAUUAUUUUUGUCAUAGUUAUUAUUGACAAAAGGAACACUGUUUGACAGGGCAUCAUUAUUUAACAUUGAUUUUAUUUUACGAGGCAAGGCAGUUAAAAACAACUUCUUAUUUUCAAUGACAGCCUAGGAACAGUGGGUUAACUGCCUUGUUCAGGGGCAGAAUGACAGAUUUUGACCUUGUCAGUUCGGGGAUUCAAUCUUUCAACCUUUCGGUUACAAGUCAAAUGCUCUAACCACAAGGCUACCUGCUGCUGUUAAAGGCAUAAACCAAACCACGUGUUACUGUGUGUUCAAUUGAGACAUAUUGCAACGAGAUUAAGUCUGUAAUACCACCUUGUUUCAAGCAGACCACCAUAGACCCUGUGCCCAAGAACACGAAGGCAACCUGCCUAAAUGACUACCAACCCGUAGCACUCAGGUCCGUAGCCAUGAAGUGCUUUGAAAGGCUGGAAAAUGCCCAUGAACAAGGCAGUUAACCCACUGUUGCCUAUCCCAGAAACCCACUAUCCCAGAAACCCACUAUCCCAGAAACCCACUAUCCCAGAAACCCACUAUCCCAGAAACCCACUAUCCCAGAAACCCACUAUCCCAGAAACCCAUUAUCCCAGAAACCCACUAUCCCAGAAACCCACUAUCCCAGAAACCCACUAUCCCAGAAACUCACUAUCCCAGAAACCCACUAUCCCAGAAACCCACUAUCCCAGAAACCCACUAUCCCAGAAACCCACUAUCCCAGAAACCCACUAUCCCAGAAACCCACUAUCCCAGAAACCCACUAUCCCAGAAACCCACUAUCCCAGAAACCCACUAUCCCAGAAACUCACUAUCCCAGAAACCCACUAUCCCAGAAACCCAUUAUCUCAGAAACCCAUUAUCCCAGAAACCCACUAUCCCAGAAACCCUAGACCCUGUCCAAUUUGCAUACUGCCCAAACAGAUCCACAGAUGAUGUAAUCUCUAUUACAUUCCACACUGCCUUUCCCCACCUGGACAAAAGGAACACCUAUGCGAGAAUGCUGUUCAUUGACACAUUUCAACACCAUAGUACCCUCAAAGCUCUUCACUAAGCUAAGGAUCCUGGGACUAAACACCUCCCUCUGCAACUGGAUCCUGGACUUCCUGACAGGCCGCCCGCAGGUGGUGAGGGUCGGUAGCAACACAUCUGCCACGCUGAUCCUCAACACUGGAGCCCCCGAGAGGUGCGUGCUUAGUCCCCUCCUGUACUCCCUGUUCACCCACGACUGCGUGGCUAUGCACGACUCCCAACACCAUCAUUAAGUUUGCACAUGACAAGAGUGAUCACCGACAACGAUGAGACAGUCUAUAGGGAGGUGGUCAGAGACCUGGCCAGGUGGUGCCAGAAUAACAACCUAUCCCUCAACGUAAUCAAGACUAAGGAGAUGAUUGUGGACUAGAGGAAAAGGAGGGCCGAGCACGCCCCCAUUCUCAUCAAUGGGGCUGUAGUGGAGCAGGUUGAAAGCUUCAAGAUCCUUGGUGUCCACAUCAACAACAAACUAGAAUGGUCAAAACACACCAAGACAAUCGUGAAGAGGGUACAACAAAGCCUAUUCCCCCUCAGGAAACUGAAAAGAUUUGGCAUGGGUCCUUAGAUCCACAAAAGGUUCUACAGCUGCACCAUCGAGAGCAUCCUGACUGGUUGCAUCACUGCCUGGUACGGCCACUGCUCGUCCUCCGACCACAAUGCACUACAGAGGGCAGUGAGUACGGCCCAGUACAUCCCUGGGGAUAAGCUGCCUGCCAUCCAGGACCUCUAUACCAGGCGGUGUCAGAGGAAGGCCCUAACAAUGGUCAAAGACCCCAGCCACCCCAGUCAUAGACUGUUCUCUCUGUUACCUCAUGGCAAGCAGUACCGGAGUGCCAAGUCUAGGACCAAAAGGCUUCUCAACAGCUUCUACCCCCAAGCCAUAAGACUCCUAAACAGGUAAUCAAAUGGCUACCCGGACAAUUUGCAUUGUGUUCCACCCCCAACCCCUCUUUUACACUACUCUCUGUUUAUCAAAUAGGCACAGUCACUUUAACUAUACAUUCAUAUACAUACGAGCACAUUGGCAAACCAGUCUAUCUGCAUUGUGUCCCACCACACUCCAACCCCUCUUUCAUGCUACUGCUACUCUCUGUUCAUCAUAUACGCAUAGUCACUUUAACCACAUCUACAUGUACAUACUACCUCAAUCAGCCCGACUAACCGGUAUGUAUCCUUGCUACUUUUAUAGCCUUGCUACUGUAUAUAGCCUCGCUACUGUAUAUAGCCUCACUACUGUAUAUAGCCUCACUACUGUAUAUAGCCUCGCUAAUGUAUGUAGCCUCGCUACUGUAUGUAGCCUCUCUACUGUAUAUAGCCUCUCUACUGUAUAUAGCCUCGCUACUGUUAUUGCCCUGCUACUGUAUAUAGCCUCACUACUGUAUAUAGCCUCAAUACUGUAUAUAGCCACUCUACUGUAUAUAGCCUCUCUACUGUAUAUAGCCUCUCUACUGUAUAUAGCCUCACUACUGUAUAUAGCCUCAAUACUGUAUAUAGCCACUCUACUGUAUAUAGCCUCUCUACUGUAUAUAGCCUCUCUACUGUAUAUAGCCUCUCUACUGUAUAUAGCCUCUCUACUGUAUAUAGCCUUACUACUGUAUAUAGCCUCACUACUGUAUAUAGCCUAUCUACUGUAUAUAGCCUCUCUAAUGUAUAUAGCCUCUCUACUGUAUGUAGCCUCUCUACUGUAUAUAGCCUCUCUACUGUUUAUAGCCUCACUACUGUAUAAAGCCUCUCUACUGUAUAUAGCCUAUCUACUGUAUAUAGUAAUAAUAACCUUUUUGCACUGUUGGUUAAAAAAAAGCCUGUAAGAUCUACACCUGUUGUAUUCAGCAUUUCACUGCGAGGUCUACUACACCUGUUGUAUUCCGUAUUUCACUGCGAGGUCUACUACACCUGUUGUAUUCAGCAUUUCACUGUACGGUCUCUACACCUGUUGUAUUCAGCAUUUCACUGUAAGGUCUACUACACCUGUUGUAUUCCGUAUUUCACUGCGAGGUCUACUACACCUGUUGUAUUCAGCAUUUCACUGUACGGUCUCUACACCUGUUGUAUUCAGCAUUUCACUGUAAGGUCUACUACACCUGUUGUAUUCAGCAUUUCACUGUAAGGUCUACUACACCUGUUUUAUUCAGCAUUUCACUGUAAGGUCUACUACACCUGUUGUAUUCAGCAUUUCACUGUAAGGUCUAUUACACCUGUUGUAUUCAGCAUUUCACAGUGAGGUCUACUACACCUGUUGUAUUCAGCAUUUCACUGUACGGUCUCUACACCUGUUGUAUUCAGCAUUUCACUGUAAGGUCCACUACACCUGUUGUAUUCAGCAUUUCACUGUAAGGUCUACUACACCUGUUGUAUUCAGCAUUUCACUGUAAGGUCUACUACACCUGUUGUAUUCAGUAUUUCACUGUAAGGUCUACUACACCUGUUGUAUUCAGCAUUUCACUGUAAGGUCAACACCUGUUGUAUUCAGCAUUUCACUGUGAGGUCUACUACACCUGUUGUAUUCAGCAUUUCACUGUAAGGUCUCUACACCUGUUGUAUUCAGCAUUUCACUGCAAGGUCUCUAAACCUGUUGUAUUCAGCAUUUCACUGCAAGGUCUCUAAACCUGUUGUAUUCAGCAAUUCACUGUAAGGUCAACUACACCUGUUGUAUUCAGCAUUUCACUGUAAGGUCAACUACACUUGUUGUAUUCAGCAUUUCACUGUGAGGUCUACUACACCUGUUGUAUUCAGCAUUUCACUGUAAGGUCCCUACACCUGUUGUAUUCAGCAUUUCACUGUAAGGUCUACUACACCUGUUGUAUUCAGUAUUUCACUGUGAGGUCUACUACACCUGUUGUAUUCAGAAUUUCACUGUGAGGUCUACUACACCUGUUGUAUUCAGCAUUUCACUGUAAGGUCAACACCUGUUGUAUUCAGCAUUUCACUUUGAGGUCUACUACACCUGUUGUAUUCAGCAUUUCACUGUAAGGUCUCUACACCUGUUGUAUUCAGCAUUUCACUGCAAGGUCUCUAAACCUGUUGUAUUCAGCAAUUCACUGUAAGGUCAACUACACUUGUUGUAUUCAGCAUUUCACUGUGAGGUCUACUACACCUGUUGUAUUCAGCAUUUCACUGUAAGGUCCCUACACCUGUUGUAUUCAGCAUUUCACUGUAAGGUCUCUACACCUGUUGUAUUCAGCAUUUCACUGUAAGGUCUCUAAACCUGUUGUAUUCAGCAUUUCACUGUAAGGUCUACUACACUUGUUGUAUUCAGCAUUUCACUGUGAGGUCUACUACACCUGUUGUAUUCAGCAUUUCACUGUAAGGUCUACUACACCUGUUGUAUUCAGCAUUUCACUGUGAUGUCUACUACACCUGUUGUAUUCAGCAUUUCACUGUAAGGUCUACUACACCUGUUAUAUUCAGCAUUUCACUGUAAGGUCUACUACACCUGUUGUAUUCAGCAUUUCACUGUCAGGUCUACUACACCUGUUGUAUUCAGCAUUUCACUGUAAGGUCUCUACACCUGUUGUAUUCAGCAUUUCACUCUCAGGUCUACUACACCUGUUGUAUUCAGUAUUUCACUGUGAGGUCUACUACACCUGUUGUAUUCAGUAUUUCACUGUGAGGUCUACUACACCUGUUGUAUUCAGCAUUUCACUGUGAGGUCUACUACACCUGUUGUAUUCAGCAUUUCACUGUGAGGUCUACUACACCUGUUGUAUUCAGCAUUUCACUUUGAGGUCUACUACACCUGUUGUAUUCAGCAUUUCACUGCAAGGUCUCUAAACCUGUUGUAUUCAGCAUUUCACUGCAAGGUCUCUAAACCUGUUGUAUUCAGCAAUUCACUGUAAGGUCAACUACACUUGUUGUAUUCAGCAUUUCACUGUGAGGUCUACUACACCUGUUGUAUUCAGCAUUUCACUGUAAGGUCCCUACACCUGUUGUAUUCAGCAUUUCACUGUAAGGUCUACUACACCUGUUGUAUUCAGUAUUUCACUGUGAGGUCUACUACACCUGUUGUAUUCAGAAUUUCACUGUGAGGUCUACUACACCUGUUGUAUUCAGCAUUUCACUGUAAGGUCAACACCUGUUGUAUUCAGCAUUUCACUUUGAGGUCUACUACACCUGUUGUAUUCAGCAUUUCACUGUAAGGUCUCUACACCUGUUGUAUUCAGCAUUUCACUGCAAGGUCUCUAAACCUGUUGUAUUCAGCAAUUCACUGUAAGGUCAACUACACUUGUUGUAUUCAGCAUUUCACUGUGAGGUCUACUACACCUGUUGUAUUCAGCAUUUCACUGUAAGGUCCCUACACCUGUUGUAUUCAGCAUUUCACUGUAAGGUCUCUAAACCUGUUGUAUUCAGCAUUUCACUGUAAGGUCUACUACACUUGUUGUAUUCAGCAUUUCACUGUGAGGUCUACUACACCUGUUGUAUUCAGCAUUUCACUGUAAGGUCUACUACACCUGUUGUAUUCAGCAUUUCACUGUGAUGUCUACUACACCUGUUGUAUUCAGCAUUUCACUGUAAGGUCUACUACACCUGUUAUAUUCAGCAUUUCACUGUAAGGUCUACUACACCUGUUGUAUUCAGCAUUUCACUGUCAGGUCUACUACACCUGUUGUAUUCAGCAUUUCACUGUAAGGUCUCUACACCUGUUGUAUUCAGCAUUUCACUGUCAGGUCUACUACACCUGUUGUAUUCAGUAUUUCACUGUGAGGUCUACUACACCUGUUGUAUUCAGCAUUUCACUGUGAGGUCUACUACACCUGUUGUAUUCAGCAUUUCACUGUGAGGUCUACUACACCUGUUGUAUUCAGCAUUUCACUUUGAGGUCUACUACACCUGUUGUAUUCAGCAUUUCACUGUAAGGUCUACUACACCUGUUGUAUUCAGCAUUUCACUGUAAGGUCCCUACACCUGUUGUAUUCAGCAUUUCACUGUAAGGUCUCUACACCUGUUGUAUUCAGCAUUUCACUGCAAGGUCUCUAAACCUGUUGUAUUCAGCAUUUCACUGUAAGGUCUACUACACUUGUUGUAUUCAGCAUUUCACUGUGAGGUCUACUACACCUGUUGUAU
This is a long non-coding RNA of Oncorhynchus masou masou (cherry salmon), 9948 nucleotides long. RefSeq lists it as uncharacterized. The transcript has 4 exons. The record is from RefSeq and is a predicted model, not a curated record. Lineage: Eukaryota; Metazoa; Chordata; Actinopteri; Salmoniformes; Salmonidae.